AUACGUAGGGGGCGAGCGUUGUCCGGAAUGAUUGGGCGUAAAGGGCGCGUAGGCGGCCCGGUAAGUCUGGAGUGAAAGUCCUGUUUUUAAGAUGGGAAUUGCUUUGGAUACUGUCGGGCUUGAGUGCAGGAGAGGUAAGUGGAAUUCCCAGUGUAGCGGUGGAAUGCGUAGAGAUUGGGAGGAACACCAGUGGCGAAGGCGACUUACUGGACUGCAACUGACGCUGAGGCGCGAAAGUGUGGGGAGCAAACAGGAUUAGAUACCCUGGUAGUCCACACUGUAAACGAUGAAUGCUAGGUGUAGGGGGUAUCGACCCCUUCUGUGCCGCAGUCAACACAAUAAGCAUUCCGCCUGGGGAGUACGGCCGCAAGGUUGAAACUCAAAUGAAUUGACGGGG
RNAcentral lists this ribosomal RNA (397 nucleotides) under uncultured bacterium. Its description in RNAcentral is "partial 16S ribosomal RNA". It matches the Rfam family "Bacterial small subunit ribosomal RNA", at positions 523 to 918 of the family's 1533-position model. The record is from RNAcentral.